AGGUCAAGCGCGAGAGUAAGAACUACACAAGGAGUUAGAGUACCUUAGCAAAACUUUGCUAUCAGGUGGGCAAUUUCUUAUGCGUAAAUAAAAUGCUAUGCAAGUGUUAUGCUUUAAAAUGCAAAUUGGAUCUUCAAGUGUGGUAUGCUUUAUUACACUUAAAUGAGUUAAGCUUUAUUAUGUUGCACGUUAAAUGAUUUACGCUAUGCUGUUUAUACUAUUUACGCCCUAUGUAAUUUACGUUUGAUUACGCUUAUUUACGCUUGAAUGCCUUACGCUGAUAAGUUUAUGCUUAUGUUUGAUGCUUGCGUCUGUUGGGGGAGGCCUCCCUCAACAGUACGAUGCCGUGUCCGUUGAGGAGGGCCUUCCUCACGGCGCGAUGCCCGUGUCCGCUGAGAGAGGCCUCUCUCGCGGCGCGAUGCCAGUAUGCCAGUAUGCCUGUGUUACAGCGUCUAUUGGGGGAGGCCUCCCUCAAUAGUACGAUGCCGUGACCGCUGAGGGAGGCUCCCCCUCACGGUGCGAUGCCCGUGUUCGUUGGGGAAGGCCUUCUCCACGACACGAUGUUUGUUAAUGAAGAUUGAUGAUGAAGAAUGCCCUUAUGCUAUUUAUGAAUUUGGAAAUGUUUAAUGAGCAAAGGAUAUGAAAGAAACUCAUGCCUCUUAUGCGAUAUUGUGAAAUUGUUAAUGAUGUUAUGUUAUAUGCUUGGCAACUGCCCACUAAGUACUCUUGUACUUAGCCCUUCGAUGUUUAUGUUUGUGCAGGUUGAGCUGUGAUGGGCGAUGAAGUGUUGCUGAGUGGAGUUUUUGUUGAACUUAAAGUAGGCUCAGAAAGGAUACAUGUCUUCAUACAUGUAUCUCAGUUAUGCAUUCCGCUGUAAACACUGAUUAUUUCAGUUACACCUUCCGUUGCAAACUCUGAUAAUGUUUUAGCCAAGCCCCUAACGAUGCCUUUUUCCUUUUAAGGAAUAUAACGCUUAUACAAGUUCGUUGAGUACCCUUUUUAUGCGAACUAUGCCUUUUUCCUUUUUAAUGAAUAUUUCACGCGUAUUCAAGCUCUUUGAGUAUUCUUUUAUGCGCCCCUUUCUAAACCCGCUUCGUAAUUUCCCUUCCCCAGUCAUGGUUU
This 1122-nucleotide long non-coding RNA is filed under the name Salvia miltiorrhiza (redroot sage). Its description in RNAcentral is "long non-coding RNA (SMIL_LNC012428)". Lineage: Eukaryota; Viridiplantae; Streptophyta; Magnoliopsida; Lamiales; Lamiaceae. The record is from RNAcentral.